This is a long non-coding RNA of Lutra lutra (Eurasian river otter), 1418 nucleotides long. RefSeq lists it as uncharacterized. The record is from RefSeq and is a predicted model, not a curated record. Lineage: Eukaryota; Metazoa; Chordata; Mammalia; Carnivora; Mustelidae. The transcript has 3 exons.
AGAGAGAGAGAGAGAGAGAAAUCUUAUAUUGUAUCCCAAGCCAGUGAAGCGGUAUUUUUUUGUACAUCAAUUUUUUUAAGUUAAAAAAAAAAAGACACUAGUGGGUAAAUAGGUGAAGGAAGCAGACACCUCCAGCAGAUCUGAAGAAGAAAGGAAUUUAUUUCCCACCUAAGCUCCACUGUUUUACAUGAUUGCCCAUCCUAGUGACUAAAUUAGUCUUUGCUAAACCCCUAGCCAGGCUGCCAUAUUGAACCAGGACGCCACUUCCCUAUGUGGACAGUUGCCAACCUGUAGCAUUUUCUCCCCAGGAUAUAAAAAUACAUUUAAGGACAAAUAGGAGCCAACAUACCCCGCCUCCCUCAGUUCUCCUUUACCCACGCUGCCCUCCAUCAUCUCCCAGACCUGUCUGCAGACCCCAGCGGGUUACUGGAGAGGUAAAAAGCGAACUUUCUCUCCAGAACUUCAGUUGCGACUCCCCAUCAGCCCUCAGGUCUCAGGAUAGAGCCCGAGGGGGGCGUGGCUUCAGCCAUCGGAGCAAAGCUCCCAACCGUGUGGGGACCUGUCCCACGUUAAGGGGCAGUUCGCAACCACAGAAAAAGAUGGCCAGAGACGCUUCCAGAGCUCAGUCUGGGGAGAACUCCAUCCCAGCCCAGCAGGUCUCGUCCUGGAGGUUCAUCCCUGUGACAACACGUUUAAUGGGAAGGUGGAAGCUGAUGGUCCUUGGACUGGAGCUCCCACCAUCACACCAGGCUUGGUCUUUGAAAUGUCUGAGGUUACCGUCAUGGAGAACAUUAGCAGACUCAUGGGAGAACAAAUCCACACAGCAGAGCCUGGGCCUAUCCGAAGCCAUGAAGGGCAUGUAGAAAUUUCCCUGCAAAAGACACGCAGGCAGAGGGAGAAGGGAAACCCCGCAGGCGCUGGGCAUGCUGUGAGCAGCUUGGGCGCGUGGGGAGGCGGGGUCAGGCUGGAGGUAGGAAGACCAGCUAGAGGGUACUGCAUAAAAAGGAACAGAUCAAUGAUAUAUCUAAACGAUGGAGACAAUGAAAUAAUUUUUAAAGCGGCUAAUUCAGGGUUGCUCUGGCAAGUUUUCGGGCUGCCACAUCAAAGGGAGGUCUGUUCACCACACAGGCGAUGCCUUAUUUCAAAAAGCUGUGUUAUAUGUUGUUCAACUUCACUGAUGGGAAUUGUAUGUUUACUACAACUUUGGCAGAUGGUAGUAAAGUGCCUUGUAACUAAAUUCGCAUAUUUUGACAGUUUUCUGAUGGAAUGAAAUGUCCUUGUUUGUUAUAGUACUGAUUAAGAAAUAAUACGCUCAUUCAAAAUAAGUCAAUCAGAGAAAGACAAUUAUCAUAUGAUCUCCCUGAUAUGACGAAUUUGAGAGGCAAUGUGGGGGGCUUGGGGGGAGGGAAAGAAAAAGG